GCUCAUGAUGAACGCUGGCGGCGUGCCUAACACAUGCAAGUCGAACGAAGCAAUUAAGAUGAAGUUUUCGGAUGGAAUCUUGAUUGACUGAGUGGCGGACGGGUGAGUAACGCGUGGAUAACCUGCCUCACACUGGGGGAUAACAGUUAGAAAUGACUGCUAAUACCGCAUAAGCGCACAGUGCCGCAUGGCAGUGUGUGAAAAACUCCGGUGGUGUGAGAUGGAUCCGCGUCUGAUUAGCCAGUUGGCGGGGUAACGGCCCACCAAAGCGACGAUCAGUAGCCGACCUGAGAGGGUGACCGGCCACAUUGGGACUGAGACACGGCCCAAACUCCUACGGGAGGCAGCAGUGGGGAAUAUUGCACAAUGGGCGAAAGCCUGAUGCAGCGACGCCGCGUGAGUGAAGAAGUAUUUCGGUAUGUAAAGCUCUAUCAGCAGGGAAGAAAAUGACGGUACCUGACUAAGAAGCCCCGGCUAACUACGUGCCAGCAGCCGCGGUAAUACGUAGGGGGCAAGCGUUAUCCGGAUUUACUGGGUGUAAAGGGAGCGUAGACGGCGAAGCAAGUCUGAAGUGAAAACCCAGGGCUCAACCCUGGGACUGCUUUGGAAACUGUUUUGCUAGAGUGUCGGAGAGGUAAGUGGAAUUCCUAGUGUAGCGGUGAAAUGCGUAGAUAUUAGGAGGAACACCAGCGGCGAAGGCGGCUUACUGGACGAUAACUGACGUUGAGGCUCGAAAGCGUGGGGAGCAAAACAGGAUUAGAUACCCUGGUAGUCCACGCCGUAAACGAUGAAUGCUAGGUGUUGGGGGGCAAAGCCCUUCGGUGCCGCCGCAAACGCAGUAAGCAUUCCACCUGGGGAGUACGUUCGCAAGAAUGAAACUCAAAGGAAUUGACGGGGGCCCGCACAAGCGGUGGAGCAUGUGGUUUAAUUCGAAGCAACGCGAAGAACCUUACCAAGUCUUGACAUCCCCCUGACGGGCCGGUAACGCGGCCUUUCCUUCGGGACAGGGGAGACAGGUGGUGCAUGGUUGUCGUCAGCUCGUGUCGUGAGAUGUUGGGUUAAGUCCCGCAACGAGCGCAACCCUUAUCCUUAGUAGCCAGCACGUGAAGGUGGGCACUCUAGGGAGACUGCCAGGGAUAACCUGGAGGAAGGUGGGGAUGACGUCAAAUCAUCAUGCCCCUUAUGAUUUGGGCUACACACGUGCUACAAUGGCGUAAACAAAGGGAAGCGAGACAGUGAUGUGGAGCAAAUCCCAAAAAUAACGUCCCAGUUCGGACUGUAGUCUGCAACCCGACUACACGAAGCUGGAAUCGCUAGUAAUCGCGAAUCAGAAUGUCGCGGUGAAUACGUUCCCGGGUCUUGUACACACCGCCCGUCACACCAUGGGAGUCAGCAACGCCCGAAGUCAGUGACCCAACCGAAAGGAGGGAGCUGCCGAAGGCGGGGCAGGUA
This 1452-nucleotide ribosomal RNA is filed under the name uncultured organism. RNAcentral's name for it is "SSU rRNA". It matches the Rfam family "Bacterial small subunit ribosomal RNA". The record is from RNAcentral.